GACGAACGCUAGCGGCGUGCUUAACACAUGCAAGUCGAACGGAAAGGCCCUGCUUUUGUGGGGUGCUCGAGUGGCGAACGGGUGAGUAACACGUGAGUAACCUGCCCUUGACUUUGGGAUAACUUCAGGAAACUGGGGCUAAUACCGGAUAGGAGCUCCUGCUGCAUGGUGGGGGUUGGAAAGUUUCGGCGGUUGGGGAUGGACUCGCGGCUUAUCAGCUUGUUGGUGGGGUAGUGGCUUACCAAGGCUUUGACGGGUAGCCGGCCUGAGAGGGUGACCGGCCACAUUGGGACUGAGAUACGGCCCAGACUCCUACGGGAGGCAGCAGUGGGGAAUAUUGCACAAUGGGCGGAAGCCUGAUGCAGCAACGCCGCGUGCGGGAUGACGGCCUUCGGGUUGUAAACCGCUUUCGCCUGUGACGAAGCGUGAGCGACGGUAAUGGGUAAAGAAGCACCGGCUAACUACGUG
This 468-nucleotide ribosomal RNA is filed under the name uncultured bacterium. Its description in RNAcentral is "partial 16S ribosomal RNA". It matches the Rfam family "Bacterial small subunit ribosomal RNA", at positions 28 to 507 of the family's 1533-position model. The record is from RNAcentral.